RNAcentral lists this long non-coding RNA (927 nucleotides) under Nicotiana tabacum (common tobacco). RNAcentral describes it as "long non-coding RNA (NTAB_LNC005153)". The record is from RNAcentral. Lineage: Eukaryota; Viridiplantae; Streptophyta; Magnoliopsida; Solanales; Solanaceae.
AAUUCAUUUUAGGGUCUAAAACCCUAUUGCUGACUAAAGGAAAAAGUUCAGUUUAGGGUUUAAAAUCCUAAUGCUGACUGAAGGAAAGAGUUCAGUUUAGGGUUUAAAAUCCUAAUGCUGACUGAAGGAAAAAGUUCAGUUUAGAGUUUAAAACCCUAAUGCUAACUGAAUGGAAAAAGUUUAGUUUAGGGUUUAAAACCCUGAUGCUGACUAAAGGAAAAGAGUUCAGUUUAGGGUUUAAAACCCUAAUGCUGACUAAAGGAAAAAGUUCAGUUUAAGAUUUAAAACCCUAUUGCUAACUAAAGGAAAAAGUUCAGUUUAGAGUUUAAAAUCCUAAUGCUUACUGAAGGAAAGAGUUCAGUUUAGGGUUUAAAUCCCUAAUAUUGACUGAAGGAAAGAGUUCAGUUUAGAGUUUAAAACCCUAAUGCUGACUGAGUGGAAAAAGUUCAGUUUAGGGUUUAAAACCCUAUUGCUAACUAAAGGAAAAAGUUCAGUUUAGAGUUUAAAAUCCUAAUGCUGACUGAAUGGAAAGAGUUCAGUUUAGGGUUUAAAACCCUAAUGCUGACUGAAUGGAAAGAGUUCAGUUUAGGGUUUAAAACCCUAAUGCUGACCAAAGGAAAGAGUUCAGUUUAGGGUUUAAAACCCUUAUGCUGACAAAAUGGAAAAGUUCAGUUUAGGGUUUAAAACCCUAUUGCUAACUAAAGGAAAAAGUUCAGUUUAGGGUUUAAAACCCUAAUGCUGACUGAAUGGAAAAAGUUCAAUUUAAGGUUUAAAUCCCUAAUGCUGACUAAAUGGAAAAAGUUCAGUUUAGGGUUUAAAACCCUAAUGCUGACUGAAGGAAAAAGUUCAGUUUAGGGUUUAAAACCCUAAUGCUGACUAAAGGAAAGAGUUCAGUUUAGGAUUUAAAACUCUAAUGUUGACUAAAGG